RNAcentral lists this long non-coding RNA (515 nucleotides) under Marmota monax (woodchuck). Lineage: Eukaryota; Metazoa; Chordata; Mammalia; Rodentia; Sciuridae. The record is from RNAcentral.
GUCUCACUGAGUCGCCUAGGGCCUCACUAAGUUGCUGAGGCUGGCUUUAAACUCGUGAUCCUCCUGCCUCAGCCUCCCAAGCCUCUGGGACUACAGACGUGCUGAUUCAUGCCUUUUCUUUCUCCACAUAUUUUCCCAAGUAUUUUCCUUCUCCUGAGAUGUUCUUACCUCCUCUCCCUGCUGACAAAGCUAAGGGUGGUCUUUCCUCAGCCAUGGUAACUUUUUCAGUGCCCUCUGCUCUUCAGCCUCUCAAUUUAAACAUAUAAUCUAAGUUAAAAAAAAUUAUCAAACAUAUUACCCAAUUCGUCCCCUGAGUUUCUUGGUUCAACUAGAACUGUUCCCAAAGCCCUCAUUUUGGAGCUGCUCCUCACACCGACUCAUCCUCCAAAACUUGGCCCAAGUGCCACCUCUCCUGGGGACAAGGCCCAUUUGGGACCUGGCCCCCUCCCUGACCAGCCUUUCCUCACUCACCACCCCCACAAUCACCACUUCCUCAGCCUUCUCACCAUCUCCAA